AAAAUAAUUGCUAUAGAGUUGCCAUUCAAUUGACGUCUCAAACUUUGAAAUGCUACUAAGCUUCUAAGCUAUUUCCCCGAACUGUUUACUUGGGUCGCUAUGUGUAGAUUUUAUUCCAUUAUUCGAAUUUCUUGGCAUCCUCAUGCCCCAGUAACCCUUUCUUCCUGCAUGUACUACACGAGGUCAUGGCCCAUGUUUAUUGAAAUUGAAAAUGUAAUGUAAAUACAAUGUGAAUAAUGAGUGUGCUUGAAGAGUAUUUAAAAUGAUUCCCAGGAAAAAAGAUGUAUUUUGUAUCCCGUUGUGUGUUUUUGGUAAUGUUAUGUUGAUGUGGUUAAAUGUACCAAUUUUCUUGUGAGACAUUAUCAAGACAAUAAUAAUUGCGAGUAGGAUUUUCCGAAAUAUUCGAAGUAGCGUUGUG
This 418-nucleotide unclassified non-coding RNA is filed under the name Hevea brasiliensis (rubber tree). The record is from RNAcentral. Lineage: Eukaryota; Viridiplantae; Streptophyta; Magnoliopsida; Malpighiales; Euphorbiaceae.